Molecule: ribosomal RNA, 460 nt
Filed under: uncultured bacterium
Lineage: Bacteria
Description: partial 16S ribosomal RNA
Rfam family: Bacterial small subunit ribosomal RNA
Source: RNAcentral
CCUACGGGAGGCAGCAGUGAGGAAUAUUGGUCAAUGGACGAGAGUCUGAACCAGCCAAGUAGCGUGAAGGAUGACUGCCCUAUGGGUUGUAAACUUCUUUUAUCAAGGAAUAAAACGAGGCACGUGUGCCUUUUUGCAUGUACUUUAUGAAUAAGGAUCGGCUAACUCCGUGCCAGCAGCCCCGGUAAUACGGAGGGUCCGAGCGUUUUCCGGAUUUAUUUGGUUUAAAGGGAGCGUAGAUGGGUUGGUAAGUCAGUUGUGAAAGUUUGCGGCUCAACCGUAAAAUUGCAAUUGAUACUGGCAGUCUUGAGUACAGUUGAGGUAAGCGGAAUGCGUGGUGUAGCGGUGAAAUGCUUAGAUAUCACGAAGAACCCCGAUUGCGAAGGCAGCUUACUAAAGUGUGACUGACAUUGAUGCUCGAAAGUGUGGGUAUCAAACAGGAUUAGAUACCCGGGUAGUC